Molecule: ribosomal RNA, 339 nt
Filed under: Triticum aestivum (bread wheat)
Lineage: Eukaryota; Viridiplantae; Streptophyta; Magnoliopsida; Poales; Poaceae
Description: partial small subunit ribosomal RNA
Source: RNAcentral
UUGGCUCGGUCUAUAUGGUCAGUCAUCCAAAUAGCUUCUGGCUUGUAUCCUCCUUCUAGUGUUGCUAAUGUAUUUGGCAACUGGUUACAUGGGCUUGAUCACAGGUUUAGAACUUGUCUCAGGAUGGGAACGCUUGUCGUUAUUUGGUCGCUUUGGCUAUAUAGAAAUGAUAAGGUUUUUAGCGAUAAAAGUACUUCUCUGAUGCAGGUUAUCUACAGAUGUACCGGGACUCUCCGUUUAUGGUCCUUUCUACAACGCGUGGAGAAUCGAGACCUGUUUAUGGAGGUGUGUACACGAUUGGAGGCUACGGCGAGGGAUACUUUUACCCAACAUGGGUGA